Molecule: ribosomal RNA, 772 nt
Filed under: uncultured crenarchaeote
Lineage: Archaea; Thermoproteati; Thermoproteota
Description: bacterial SSU rRNA
Rfam family: Archaeal small subunit ribosomal RNA
Source: RNAcentral
GUAGUCAACAUGCCCAGGGGACGUGGAUAACCUCGGGAAACUGAGGAUAAACCGCGAUAGGCCAUGAUUUCUGGAAUGGUUCAUGGCCGAAAUCUAUAUGGCCCCUGGAUUGGACUGCGGCCGAUCAGGCUGUUGGUGAGGUAAUGGCCCACCAAACCUGUAACCGGUACGGGCUCUGAGAGGAGGAGCCCGGAGAUGGGCACUGAGACAAGGGCCCAGGCCCUAUGGGGCGCAGCAGGCGCGAAAUCUCUGCAAUAGGCGAAAGCUUGACAGGGUUAUUCUGAGUGAUUUCCGCUAAGGAAGUCUUUUGGCACCUCUAAAAAUGGUGCAGAAUAAGGGGUGGGCAAGCCUGGUGUCAGCCGCCGCGGUAAUACCAGCACCCCGAGUGGUCGGGACGAUUAUUGGGCCUAAAGCAUCCGUAGCCGGUUCUACAAGUCUUCCGUUAAAUCCAACUGCUUAACAGUUGGGCUGCGGAGGAUACUAUGGAGCUAGGAGGCGGGAGAGGCAAGCGGUACUUAGUGGGUAGGGGUAAAAUCCGUUGAUCCACUGAAGACCACCAGUGGCGAAGGCGGCUUGCCAGAACGCGCUCGACGGUGAGGGAUGAAAGCUGGGGGAGCAAACCGGAUUAGAUACCCGGGUAGUCCCAGCUGUAAACGAUGCAGACUCGGUGAUGAAUAGGCUUCGUGCCUAUUCAGUGCCGCAGGGAAGCCGUUAAGUCUGCCGCCUGGGGAGUACGGUCGCAAGACCGAAACUUAAAGGAAUUGGCGGGGGA